GAAUAAGUGUCUACAAGAAUCUAUAUCAAUUACAAUAGAGGAGAAAUCAAAGAGGGAGAAAACAAGGACUACGAACACCGGGUAGCUACCUCAUAAAUCUCCAAAAAUCAACCGAGCACGAGAUCAAUGCCCACCUUGUCCGGAAACACCUGGAUCUGCACAUGAAGUGCAAGGUGUAGCCUGAGUACAACCAACUCAGUAAGUAACAAUAAUAAAUAAGGAAUUGAAGAUAGUGACGAGCUACACAGUUAUAGUUAAUUUUCAGUAAUUUUUGUAAGGAGUAGACAUUCUUUCAAAUCCUGCAAUUUAAGUCAAAUCAGUUUUAUUUAGUUUCACAUUCAAGAAAAUAAAAUAGAUACAAAAUCUUCCUGAAAAUUUCAAAAAAAAAAAUGAUAGAUAGCAACUAAGUGCAAUAACAAAUGAAACCAAGUACAGCCUGUCAGGGCAACAAUCACUUAGCUCUCCUCAACAGCUCAAUCAAUUGGCUCUCAGCCCUCUGUACUCACACUCAAUAGGUACGUCCUCUCACUAAAGGUGCACAAACUCUGGAUGGGCUCCUUUAGCCCAAACGCUAUAUUGUUGCGGCAUGCAUCCCGAUCUAAAUACUAAAUAGCUGUAAGGCUCCUUGCGACGCGCAACCCAAUGCAUAUUAAUUCAUCCCUCAGGCUCAUUGCGGCGUGCAACCGGUCCAUACAUACACACACAACUCACAGCUCGGCACUCAGGCCCUAUCUCAAUCACCAACCUCUCCAGUCCCUAGGCUCUCAUAAAUCAUAUAUAUCAACCCAAACAGAGAUAGUAACAUGUAUCAACAAGGAACAUAUAGCUAACAAUAAUUUAUUUGAAUUUAAAGCUUCCCGGGACGGACCAAAUCACUAUCUGUCACGACCCUAAACCCGAACCCGAUCAUGAUGGCGCCUCUCAUGAAGACAAGCCCAACCCACACAUUCCCAAUUCAUUUUUAAGUAGUUAAGAUAAUUCAAGUAAGCCUUAAACAUAAUAAAUAUCCUAAAUAGAUAAGGUGAAACGGUACAAUUGCGGAAAAUAAAACCACUACAGCCCGAUAGCGGGGUGUCAAUAGUCAUGAGCAUGCAUCAAUAUAAUACAAGUCUGAAGCAUCUACAAAGCUAUUAUAGAAUCACUAAAAAGAGAAAGUAAAUGAGAUAAAGGGGGAGAAGCACAGGGCUGCAAACGCCGAAUCUGCUCAUAGGGUGCAAGGAGUAAAGUGAGUACUCCAACUCAAUGAGUAAUAAUCAUAAAUAAAGACUAAGAAAUAUGAAAUCAUGUAAGGCACAUUACAGGCUAUAAUGAAAUAGUAAAAGCCAAUAGAAACAGUGAAUCAGUGAAGAUAUGUAAAGUCAUUUUAGUUCAGUUUAAACUUUAUGAAAUGCCUUUUAACAAUUAAGCAGGUAAAUGACAAGCAACUAGGAAAGAUAAACACAUAAAGGAUUGCCCCUCGAGCAAUAUCAUAGAACAACACCAGCCCCUUGGGCUAUAUCUGACAUCAUAAUGGGUACUCACGCUCAUUGGGGGUGUGCAGACUCCUGGAGGGCCCCUUACGGCCCAAACGCAAUAUCAAACCAUCUCGUGGCAUCAUCACUAGGCUCUCGGCCUCAUAUCAACAAGCCACCUCGUGGCGUACAAAUCUCAGGCCCUCGACCUCAUAAUCAUAAUCAGUGUUUCCUCACAACAUAGGCCCUCGACCUUACUCAGUCAGAAUCUCAUAAGCCAUUCGGGCAACAGUAAAACAUGAUGCUCAGCCCCAAAAUAUCAUUUAAAAAUAUCAUCUUAAGUGUUAAAGUAGAGUAAACAUGGUUGAGUUAUGAAAACAGUAGAAUAUAGCAUGACUGAGUACUAGUAUAAAGUCAAAACAGUGAGGAAAUAUCAGUAAAAAUCCCCUAAAGGUCCAAAUAGUUGGUACGAGAUCCAAAUAUGGCAUUCAUCCCAAAACAUGAUGAUAGCAAUUCGUUUUUAAUCAAAUAAGUGAUAAAACAGUCAUUCGGGAUGGACUAAGUCACAAUCCCCAAUGGUGCCCGACCCCAUGCACGUCAUCUAGAGUGUGUGUCACCUCAAUGUAGCACCAUAAUGUGCAAUCCGGUGUUUCACACCCGUAGGACAACAUUUACGAUCAUUACUCACAUCGAUCCAGUUCAAACUCUAGCCUUUGAUGCCAUUUUUCCUUGAAUCAGCCUCAACUAGCGUCGAAUCUAUCUAAAUCAGAAUCACGACGUCAAAAUAUGCUAAAGGAACGAAGCCCAUGCGAAAAUAAUCAAUUUACAACAUCAAUCACGAAAUUGCUCAAACUCGGCCCCCGGGUCCACACCUCGGAACCCAACAAAUAUCACCUCAAUAGAAUCCUCAUCCUCCCACGAGUCUAUACAUAUCAAGAACAUCAAAUUCGGACCUCAAAUGGCCCUUCAAAUUCCCACUCGAAGGUCUCUUAAUCUCAAGCCCUAAUUACCCAUUUUGCACUAAUUUUCCCAAAAUUUCAUCACUAAUUAGUCCUUUAAUCACAUAUAAAUGUGUUAUGAAGUCAAAAAUCUUACCUCCACGAGAUUAUCCUUUGAUUUUCUCUUCAAUUAGCUCUUCAAAGCUUUCUCCCGAAUGAAAUAGGGUGAAAACCCACUCAAAAUCGCGAAGGGGACCUUUUAUACUUUCUGACCCAGCAAUUUUCGCACCUGCGGCCCUUUUAUUGCUCCUACGGUCAUGCUUCUGCGGCUAAUCCACCGCAUAUACGGUUUUUCAAUUAACUGGCCGUUUCUGCAUCUGCAGUUAAAAACUCGCACAUGCGCUACCGCAGGUGCGCCCACUUCACCGCUUCUGCGGUUCCUGAAGAACUUCCUCUUGGCCGCAUCUGUGGUUAUCUUCCGCUUCUGCGAGCAUCGCACUUGCGGCCUCCCAACCGCAAGUGCGGUUAUGAUAGCAGCUAAAAUGCCUCAACUGUCCUAACUCGACUUCAAACCUUCCGCCAACCAUCCGAAAUCAUCCCGAGGCCCCCGGGACCUCAACUAAAAGCACAAACCUGUCAUAUACCACUACCCAAACUUAUACCAUUCUUUGAAACAUCUCAAACAAUAUCGAAUCCAUCAAAUCACAUCGAAUUCAAGCCUAAGGUUCCAAAAUCUUCUGAAAUUCCGCUUUUGAUCAAAAGGUCUACCAAACCACGUCUGAAUGAUCUGAAAUUUUUCACACACAUCCCAAAUGACACAACGGACCUACUGAAACUCCCAAAAUUCCAUUUCGACCACUAUAUCAUAAUCUCACCUAUCAACCGGAAAACGUCAAAAUUCUAAUUUCGCCAAUUCAAGCCUAAACCUUCCAUGGACCUCCAAAACACAUUUCGAUCAUGCUCCUAAGUCCCAAAUCACCUAAUGGAGCUAACCAAAUCAUAAAAAUUCCGAUUCGAGAUGAUAUACCAACAAUUCUAAUCUUGGUCAAACCUUUUAAAUUUUAAGCUUCAAACUGAGAACUGUUUCUUCAAAAUUCAUUUCGGUUACCCCGAAACCAAAACCGAUGAUUUACAUAAGUCAUAAUGUCACACAUCCUUUUGUACUACCCCCGUAAGGGUAUAAAAGAAGUUUUUCCAAUUUAAGUGACAAUCGAAAUAGGAUUAUUUAUUUAUUAAAUUCAGAGUCGCCACUCGAGAUAAUUUAUGGUGUCUCAAGUCACCGGUUUAGAACCUGAAUCGAGGAAAAGAUUUACUCUAUUUUACAGUCCGCGAACACAAAAAUCCGGGUAAGGAAUUCUGUUAACCCGGGAGAAGGUGUUAGGCAUUCCUGAAUUCCGUGGUUCUAGCAUGGUCGCUCAACUGUUAUAAUUGGCCUAUUAUCUGAUUCUAAUGCAUGUUUUAACCUAUGGUAGAAUUUUAACUUUAUAACUGCUUUUGUUUAAUUAUUUUUAGGAAAGAUUCAACAUCAUCUAAAACACGUCUUGAACCACGUCACAUAAAUGCACUCGCGGUCCACGACACAUUUUGUCUAACGUUGUUGAGAUUUGGAUUUGGGUCACAUAAAUGCACACCCGAAUUUAGGAAGGUAAUUUUUAAAAUAGUGCGCCUAAAGCAACUAUGCACUUUCAAGUUUGGGAGGGCCAUGGAAAUUUCGCUAAUGGCACAUCUCGAUUUCUAAAGGUUCAAAUUAAAUAAGUGAGGGUCAUGCAUUUUGAGGUUUUAUUUGGCAUGACACACCUCAAUUUUAUUAAAGGAAAUGCAUUCAACUAAGUGAACUAUGGAUAUUCAUUUUUAGAGCCAAUUUGAAAUUAAGUAUCACAACUACGUCACGGGAACCAUACCCCUAAUAAUGAUGAGUUAAUUAUGUGCCUAAAGCUCAAGAGAAAAGGAUUCAUUUAUGUUGUUGUCUUAUACCAAACACCAAACAAUCACAAAAAGAUCAAAUCUUCCACAAAUUAAAUGGAUUCAACUGCUAAACAAUUACAAACAAAGAUCAUAACUUUAACAGAUUAAACUUAUCCAAAACAAAACUACUACUGCUACCAAUACCUCAACCAAAUACCAAGUUCUUCCUAAACUACUAACAAACAGAAAAUGACAUAAUCAAUUGUGUGAAUUCCGAACAGAAAAGGAAGGAAAGAACGUUAAUUAAUCUAUGUAUAGAAUCACGAAACUGGCAUAUGUAUAGAAUCUGAAAUAGUCCAAAAGUAAUCCUUUAACCAUCUUAAAAAAUUAAAGGGACGAACUAAAAUAAUAGUAUUACAUUACAAUAUUACCUGAAGGUGUUUGAGUGAGUAACAGCUAUUCAACAACAAAAUCGAGUAUCAACCGAAAAAAUCAGCAGAAAUGCGAAUCGGAACCUCGACGAACUACCUCGACCUCGAUAGUAUCUCAGUCACGAUUUUAAAAGAUAUUGAAUGGACAAUUACUGAAAAUCCAAGUGAAGCUUAAGAACAGAUUCAAAUUCCUCCCAUGCUCACAAAGCUCCACUGGUUCGCUGUAGAUUUGAACAACGGCAAGACCAAACUACGACCAAAAUGGCAAAACUUUAUAUAAAUGGUAACGGAGGAGGUUGUGAGUUAGCAGAAAGUGAAGUUGGUGAUGGUAGCAGUGGUACUGCCGUGUGCUGGGAUUAUCGUUUGGCAAUUACGAAAUGCAGAGCUGAAAUUUCAUCGCAUCCAUUGUAUAAGACAGCAUUGUAACUAGUGGAGAGUGCUCAUUUUUGAGAGGUGAGGGAUCCUGCUGGUUUUUGUUUAGAGAAGAAAAGGUCUAAAAAUGGCUGAAGGGUCUAAGGUUCUCUUCUCAUUGUUGCUCCUUUGUUUUUUUCGAAGAAGUUGAAAUGGCUGUGUUAGAGAAGAAAAUUGACAUGGGAGGAAUUCAUUUUUUGUUCAGCAGCUGAAAGUUUGAAGAAGACGAUGUCAGGGAUCCUUCGUUUUUUUCGUUUGCGGCUUCUCCUUCUUAGGUCCUCUAGGGUUCUUUUGGUUUUUGUGUAUUUCCUUAGAUCUUUCUU
RNAcentral lists this long non-coding RNA (5459 nucleotides) under Nicotiana tabacum (common tobacco). Its description in RNAcentral is "long non-coding RNA (NTAB_LNC007976)". The record is from RNAcentral. Lineage: Eukaryota; Viridiplantae; Streptophyta; Magnoliopsida; Solanales; Solanaceae.